GGAGAGGGCCCUCAUUAUGGGGGCCCUGUGUCAUGUGGGGAAGUAUAAAGAUGAUAUGACUUGUAAAGUCUAAAGUGUUCCAUAGUUAGUUAUAAUUGCCUGAUUCUGACAGUAAGAUCUGUAAUUGUCCUAUGCUUCAACAAGAACUGAGAUUAUUGGCCCUUUUAGAAAAGACCCUAUACUUGUGUUGGUUGAUGCAUUAUUCUUGAUUUGGCUUGUGAGUUUUCC
Molecule: unclassified non-coding RNA, 228 nt
Filed under: Hevea brasiliensis (rubber tree)
Lineage: Eukaryota; Viridiplantae; Streptophyta; Magnoliopsida; Malpighiales; Euphorbiaceae
Source: RNAcentral